UGGAUCCUCUAGCCCCUAUCCGAACUACCCGAAACCCGAAAUACCCGAACCGAACCGAACCGAUACCCGAAAUGCCCAGGCCCUUCCGCCAAAUUUUUCUUCCUUCCCCGCGCACAUCUUGACCAAAAUUAAAACGAUAAACAAAAAAAAGAAAAAAGAAACUCUUCUAAUUUUUCAUUGGUUGACAAAGUAGCUAAAGGAUUGCUAUCUAGAAUUUUGGACCAUUGAUUAAAUUUUAUCCAAUGGUCAAGGUCACUUUGUGUUUCUUCCUCGUGUCUCUCACUCUCUCUUUUCUUCACAAAGAUCUCAUCUCUCUUUCAUUCCUGAAUCUCAAAUUCUCAAUCACGUUGCUCCAGAUCUUCUUUCUCUCAUAACUCUCUCUUUAACCAUACUACUUGCUCGAGCUUGUUCACCAAAGCUUGUUCGUCACCAAAGCUCAUCACCGUAGCUCGUUUGCCAUCGCCACCACCAAAGGCUCGUCGCUGUCACCACCGAAGCUCUUCGUCCACCACACAUACAAAGAAGAGAAGAGAGGAUGAAGAAGAUCCAGCAAGUUAGAGAGGACGAAGACGAAUACGAUGCUGGAGAGAGACGAAGAAGAUGAAGAAGUUAGCGAUGGGGGAGAGAGCGUGACAAAAGUGGGAGGACGGCAUAUGGUGGCGAGGGUGGAGAUGGACAGCAGAUGGUGGCAACGUCAACUCGAAGCAACGAAGCGGCGGAGAAGACGAUGACCAAUUCUUUUUUUUUUAGGUUUAGUUCUUUUUUGGGUUAAAUUCUUUAAAAAAAGUUAAUUUGGUUUAGUUUUUUUAUUGUAAUUAAUUUGACUUAGUUUGUAAAUGAGUUUCAAUUUGUAAAGUGGCUUUAAUUUAUAAAUAAAAAUUUAUUCGUAAA
Brassica napus (rape) is the source of this 891-nucleotide long non-coding RNA. RefSeq lists it as uncharacterized. The record is from RefSeq and is a predicted model, not a curated record. The transcript has 2 exons. NCBI's taxonomy places the organism in Eukaryota, Viridiplantae, Streptophyta, Magnoliopsida, Brassicales, Brassicaceae.